GGUGGUAUAGGCCAUUGGGGCUAGUCUUGCUUAAAAGCGAGAAUGCUGUAGGAUCGAAUCCUACUACCACCG
This 72-nucleotide transfer RNA is filed under the name Orchesella cincta. It matches the Rfam family "tRNA". From Rfam's summary of the family: Transfer RNA (tRNA) molecules are approximately 80 nucleotides in length. Lineage: Eukaryota; Metazoa; Arthropoda; Collembola; Entomobryomorpha; Orchesellidae. The record is from Rfam by way of RNAcentral.